This 301-nucleotide ribosomal RNA is filed under the name uncultured bacterium. Its description in RNAcentral is "partial 16S ribosomal RNA". It matches the Rfam family "Bacterial small subunit ribosomal RNA", at positions 509 to 807 of the family's 1533-position model. The record is from RNAcentral.
CAGUAGCCGCGGUAAUACGUAGGUGGCAAGCGUUGUCCGGAAUUAUUGGGCGUAAAGGGCUCGCAGGCGGUUUCUUAAGUCUGAUGUGAAAGCCCCCGGCUCAACCGGGGAGGGUCAUUGGAAACUGGGAAACUUGAGUGCAGAAGAGGAGAGUGGAAUUCCACGUGUAGCGGUGAAAUGCGUAGAUAUUGGGAGGAACACCAGUGGCGAAGGCGGCUUUUUGGCCUGUAACUGACACUGAGAGACGAAAGCUAGGGGAGCAAAUGGGAUUAGAUACCCCUGUAGUCCCUGUCUCUUAUAC